AGCCCUGGUCGCUAAUUAAACAAUUGUGCAACCUGUGUUUGCCCAUGUGAGCAGUUGGAGUGAAUGGUGGGAAAUUUAAGCUUAGCAUUUUGAAUGUUUUUUAAAAAGAACAUGCCAC
This is a long non-coding RNA of Etheostoma spectabile (orangethroat darter), 118 nucleotides long. RefSeq lists it as uncharacterized. The transcript has 4 exons. Lineage: Eukaryota; Metazoa; Chordata; Actinopteri; Perciformes; Percidae. The record is from RefSeq and is a predicted model, not a curated record.